GCGACCCCAGGAUGGGCGGGGCCACCCGUCGAG
This 33-nucleotide ribosomal RNA is filed under the name Sobralia bimaculata. Its description in RNAcentral is "partial 26S ribosomal RNA". The record is from RNAcentral. Lineage: Eukaryota; Viridiplantae; Streptophyta; Magnoliopsida; Asparagales; Orchidaceae.